UACAGAGGUCUCAAGCGUUGUCCGGAUUUAUUGGGUUUAAAGGGUGCGUAGGCGGUCUAUUAAGUCAGCGGUGAAAUACUCCAGCUUAACUGGAGGGGUGCCAUUGAUACUGAUGGACUUGAGUCAAGUCGAGGUAGGCGGAAUUGACGGUGUAGCGGUGAAAUGCUUAGAUAUCGUCAAGAACACCAAUAGUGAAGACAGCUUACUGGGCUUAAACUGACGCUGAGGCACGAAAGUGUGGGGAUCAAACAGG
RNAcentral lists this ribosomal RNA (253 nucleotides) under uncultured bacterium. RNAcentral's name for it is "partial 16S ribosomal RNA". It matches the Rfam family "Bacterial small subunit ribosomal RNA", at positions 524 to 776 of the family's 1533-position model. The record is from RNAcentral.